This 451-nucleotide ribosomal RNA is filed under the name uncultured bacterium. RNAcentral describes it as "bacterial SSU rRNA". It matches the Rfam family "Bacterial small subunit ribosomal RNA", at positions 330 to 793 of the family's 1533-position model. The record is from RNAcentral.
CCCAGACUCCUACGGGAGGCAGCAGUGGGGAAUAUUGGGCAAUGGAGGCAACUCUGACCCAGCAACGCCGCGUGAAUGAUGAAGGUCUUCGGAUUGUAAAGUUCCUUUCUAAGGGAAGAAGAAAGUGACGGUACCUUAGGAAUAAGCCUCGGCUAAAUACGUGCCAGCAGCCGCGGUAAUACGUAUGGAGCAAGCGUUAUCCGGAUUUACUGGGUGUAAAGGGAGCGCAGACGGCAGGGCAAGUCUGAUGUGAAAGUCCGGGGCUCAACCCCGGGACUGCAUUGGAAACUGUCCGGCUAGAGUGCAGGAGAGGUAAGUGGAAUUCCUAGUGUAGCGGUGAAAUGCGUAGAUAUUAGGAGGAACACCAGUGGCGAAGGCGGCUUACUGGACUGUAACUGACGUUGAGGCUCGAAAGCGUGGGGAGCAAACAGGAUUAGAUACCCUCGUACAG